This 242-nucleotide long non-coding RNA is filed under the name Elaeis guineensis (African oil palm). Its description in RNAcentral is "long non-coding RNA (EGUI_LNC050173)". The record is from RNAcentral. Lineage: Eukaryota; Viridiplantae; Streptophyta; Magnoliopsida; Arecales; Arecaceae.
GAGGGAAUUCAUCCAUUGGAGGGGUCUGGUUGGCACUAUUGAAGUCCGAUUGGUGCUGUUGAAGGUUGAUGGCUAAAGAGGUAUGAAAGACACUGGAGAUAAUCGAUCACUGAAGGAAUCUGGCUAUUGGAGUCCAUCCAUUGUAGAAGUUCAUCUGGAAUCCAUCCACUGUAGAAGUUCGGACGGAGUCCGAUUCUUGCAGAAGUUUGGAAGGAGGCCGCUUACUGUAAAAGCUCGGAUGG